GACGAACGCUGGCGGCGUGCUUAACACAUGCAAGUCGAACGGAAAGGCCUCUUUCGGGGGGUACUCGAGUGGCGAACGGGUGAGUAACACGUGAGUAACCUGCCCUUGACUUUGGGAUAACUUCCGGAAACUGGGGCUAAUACCGGAUAGGAGCUCCUGCUGCACUGUGGGGGUUGGAAAGUUUCGGCGGUUGGGGAUGGACUCGCGGCUUAUCAGCUUGUUGGUGGGGUAGUGGCUUACCAAGGCUUUGACGGGUAGCCGGCCUGAGAGGGUGACCGGCCACAUUGGGACUGAGAUACGGCCCAGACUCCUACGGGAGGCAGCAGUGGGGAAUAUUGCACAAUGGGUGGAAGCCUGAUGCAGCAACGCCGUGUGCGGGAUGACGGCCUUCGGGUUGUAAACCGCUUUCGCUCAUGACGAAGCUUUGUGUGACGGUAGUGGGUAAAGAAGCACCGGCUAACUACGUG
This 467-nucleotide ribosomal RNA is filed under the name uncultured bacterium. RNAcentral's name for it is "partial 16S ribosomal RNA". It matches the Rfam family "Bacterial small subunit ribosomal RNA", at positions 28 to 507 of the family's 1533-position model. The record is from RNAcentral.